RNAcentral lists this ribosomal RNA (741 nucleotides) under Triticum aestivum (bread wheat). Its description in RNAcentral is "partial small subunit ribosomal RNA". The record is from RNAcentral. Lineage: Eukaryota; Viridiplantae; Streptophyta; Magnoliopsida; Poales; Poaceae.
AUGAGCUUGAUAACAUCCAGCUUUUUUGUUGGUUGGGUAUCUCUUUCUCCACCAGCCAGCCCAGGGACGACACGCCCUCUCCCAAGGCCAUGUAGGCAUCACGUCGGUGUCUCCCACUGCUCUCCAUACUCAGUGCACUCACGUAUCAUCCCACCCCCGUCGUCAUCUCUCCCUUCCUCUGCGUUGCUUAUUAAGACCACCACCACCCCUCCUCACACAGCAGCCACAAGUUCCACCCUCACCCUCUUCUACCCAUUGGAAAUCGCAGCUCGAACUUCCCUCCUCCAUGAACAUUUUCCUGUCAACAGAGUAACAUCGCUGCAGCCACCACCCCCUCCUCAGCUUCUUCUACCUUUGGAAAUCGCAGCUCUGAACUCAUCCUCAACAGGGGCAGAGCAGUUGGGACUGCCCGCCCUCGUGUCCAAGAGGGCAGAGUUUGUGCGGGCGUUUCCAAACCAGCUCCGGCGCCCCACCACCCACACUCAAGAAUUUCUUGGGCUCAAGAGGGAUGCCGGGUUGUGGAGAGACACCAACUACGGCGAGGGAGUCAUCAUCGGUGUAGUUGACACCGGCAUCUAUGCGGCGCAUCCUUCCUUUGGUGAUAGUGGUAUCCCGCCACCCCCAUCAAAGUGGAAGGGUUCAUGCCAUGGCACUGCUGCUGCCCAUUGCAACAAGAUGAUUAAGCUUCAAGACUGUUGUGCAACUUGGGAACGGCAAUCACAUCAAUGGGGAGGCUUUUAA